UACGGAGGGUGCGAGCGUUAAUCGGAAUUACUGGGCGUAAAGCGCACGUAGGUGGUUGAGUCAGUCAGAUGUGAAAGCCCCGGGCUCAACCUGGGAAUUGCAUCUGAUACUGCUCGGCUAGAGUGUGUUAGAGGGAAGUGGAAUUUCAGGUGUAGCGGUGAAAUGCGUAGAUAUCUGAAGGAACACCAGUGGCGAAGGCGAAUUCCUGGGACAAUACUGACACUGAGGUGCGAAAGCGUGGGUAGCAAACAGG
This 253-nucleotide unclassified non-coding RNA is filed under the name uncultured Gammaproteobacteria bacterium. Its description in RNAcentral is "contains 16S-23S intergenic spacer region". It matches the Rfam family "Bacterial small subunit ribosomal RNA", at positions 524 to 776 of the family's 1533-position model. Lineage: Bacteria; Pseudomonadati; Pseudomonadota; Gammaproteobacteria. The record is from RNAcentral.